RNAcentral lists this long non-coding RNA (4012 nucleotides) under Homo sapiens (human). RNAcentral's name for it is "HSALNT0381432". Lineage: Eukaryota; Metazoa; Chordata; Mammalia; Primates; Hominidae. The record is from RNAcentral.
CUUCUUCGCCGCCGCCUCAGGAGCCGCUGACAGGGGAAGCAGGAGGCUCGCGGCCCGGCCCUGGCGGCACACUCACAGCGCCCUCUGAGGAGGAGGUCUGCUCUCUCGCCGCUCCCGAGUCGCAGACACAAAAGCCCCCAGACUGGAGCCGCCUGUAAAACCCGCUCUGGGGCGGGCGAGGGACGUGGCGCGGCCCCGCGGCUUCCCCGCCCUGAGCUCCCCAGCCCCGCGCGGGGACGGGCUUCGGGGGGCGGGGGCCGCUGCCUCGUCCCGCGGCGCCUCCCGCCACCGCCGCCGCCUCGCGCUCCGCCUCGGCCCAGCCCCCACGGCCCGCGCGCGCCUCUUGCUCCAAGCCGGGGCUCGCGGGCCCGCGGCUCUUGCAGCCCGGGUGGGCAGCGCGCGCCUAGGGGCCGCCCCGCCCCGCGCCCGGCGCUCCCUCGCCGACCGCCAGGCCCGAGAACGCCCGACCCCGCGGCCGACGCUACCGGGCCCAGCUUUCGCAAGGAAAGGGCAUCUCCGAACUUCGUCGGAGGCCACAGCAGCAGGCGUCUCGGCCUCGCAGCUAGGGAUCGGAAAGAUGAACGUACCAUGCGAGGAAACUUUGUAAGCGGGAGCUGGAGAGUUCUCGGCGGGCAUGUGGGGAUCCAGAUUCCCCGACUCCGUGUCCGCGUGGCCGUGGUGUGGACACCUGUCUGUAGAAUGCCUCCACUUGGUAUUUUAACGACUUGACUCUUCAAGAAAGAGCGACGUAGAAUAAAUACCAGAAAGGACGGUGGGCGGGGGAGGGGGGAGCGUGGGUAGAAGCGGUGACGCGGCUGGAUCUCAUUUAGACGUUAAAUUUUAGGAGGAACACCCCCAGUGUGAUUGUAAAUUAGAUGUGAUCACCGGUCCACAUUCUUCAGUUGGGCUGUGUGACCGGAGGCGACUUAGGUAACCUCUCUGGGUCUCAGUUUUCUUGUCUAUAAAAGGCAGUGGGGCUACAUCUCGAAGGUCUCUUCUAGCUCCGACAUUGUUUAACGCACUUCUACGAAAUUGUUUUCCCUGGUUUUUGUUUUUUGUUUUUUGUUUUUGUUUUUGUUUUGCUAGGUUUUCUGGUUAUCCACUGGGCUUAUUUUGAUGUAAGAAUCACCGAAAAGCACUCAUGAAGCGUGGGAGGACACAGAACUAGCUACAGACAGGAGUCUCGUCCUUCCGGAGACAGACACCCAACUCAUUCAGCUGCACAGUGUCACAGAGAACAGAUGUUAACAUGAAGCCAAUGUACAGCCUCAACAGCUGCAUACCAGACAAUCGCCACAGCGGCUGAUCGUCGUUAAGACAUAGCGUGGCCGGAGGCAAAUGUUACCCUUUAUCUAAUAAGGGUGGUCUGGAAUUAUGGAAUUCCUGAUUAGAAGAGUCAGACUAGGACAGGCUAAGGAAAAUAUUCUUACAGGAAGCACUCUGAGGAGAAGGUUCCUCCUAACUAGAAUGUAAGCGCCAUGCAGGCAGGAAUUUUGACUGGCUCACUGCUGUAUCCUCUGGUACCUAAUACUGAGUAACACAUAGUAAGUGUUCGGGAAAAUAUUCAUUGAUGUAUGAAUAAAGAGAUUUGAAGUGGCCCUGGGACGACUGGGGUGGCAGGGCUUUGGUAAGUGUAAUAAAGCCGAAGCAAAUGGUAAUAUAAUAAAGCAGAUUGGGGGCCGGGCGCGGUGGCUCACGCCUGUAAUCCCGGCACUUUGGGAGGCCGAGGCAGGCGGAUCAUGAAGUCAGGAGAUCAAGACCAUCCUGGCUAACACGGUGAAACCCCGUCUCUACUAAAAAUACAAAAAAAAAAUUAGCCGGGUGUGGUGGCGGGCGCCUGCAGUCCCAGCUACUCGGGAGGCUGAGGCAGGAGAAUGGCGUGAACCCGAGAGGCGGAGCUUGCAGUGAGCCGAGAUCGCGCCACUGCACUCCAGUCUGGGUGACAGAGUGAGACUCUGUCUCAAAAAAAAAAAAAAAAAAAAAUUAAAAAUAAAGCAGAUUGAAUCUAAUAAUCUAUGUUAUAGGGUGGUUGGAGGAAAAUUUGAAAGCACUUUGGUAAGUCAACAAAGAAAUGAAGGCCAGCUGUGGUGGCUCACGCCUGUAAAUCCCAACACUUUGGGAGGUUGAGGCGGGAGGAUCACUUUAGCCCAGGAAUUUGAGACCAGCCUGGGUAACAAAGCUAGACCCUUCUCUACAAAAUAAUUUUUAAAAAUUAGCCAGGCGUGGUGGCACCGGCCUAUAGUCCCAACUACUCAGGAAACUGAGGCAAGAAGAUCCCUUAAGCCCAGGAGUUCAAGGUUGCAGUGAGCGAUGAUUACACCACUACACUUCAUCCUGGUUAACAGAGCAAGCAAGACCCUGUCCCCCCUCCAGAAAAAUAUGGAAAUGACAUAUUUUCAUUUUAUAACUCUUAGUGGAAGGAGAAUGGUUCAGAAAAAUCAUUGCUAAGAGAUUUUGAGUUCUUUAUUGUAAUUCCCUAAAGCUAGAGACUCAGAAAUAGCAUGAAAAUCAAGAGAAAUGAAUUGGCUUCUUUUUAAUGAUUCAUCAAGAAUAAAAAGACCAUCUUACUUGGGCAUAGUCUUUUAAAUCGAUUUUACUUCCAAAUCUUGAUGGCUUCCUUGCACAUAAUCAGAAUUACCUGGAGAGCAUUCCAAAAUUUCAGAUUCCUAAGUCCCUCCCCAGAUUUACUAGAGUCAGAAUCCCUAGACGUCUGUUUUUAAAGGCUCUCUAGGUGAUUCAAAAGCAAUGAGCAGAUUUGAUGACUUGCAUUUAUCAGCCAUUUGGUAUAAAACAUUGUCACCCAAAGAUUGUAUACAGAGAUUGAGACAAUGGUUCCUGUCCUUAAGAAGUUCACAGUUUAGGGCAGGAAGUAGAGGUUUAAGGUAACAUGAACAAUGCAAAAUGCCAAGCACUGCAAUAGACUUCCGUGUCAGCAGAGGACAGAAACCCUCCACUCAGCUUGGGAGGCAGGUAGCUGAUGAUGUUUUUAGGAGAGCCUUAAAAAGAACAUAUAGGAGGCCGGGCACAGUACCUCAUGCCUGUAAUCCCAGCACUUUGGGAGGCCGAGGUGAGUGAAUCACGAGGUCAGGAGUUCAAGACCAGCCUGGCCAAGACGGUGAAACCCCGUCUCUACUAAAAACACACCAAAAAGCCAGGCAUGGUGGUGGGUGCCUGUAAUCCUAGCUACUCGGGAGGCUGAGGCAGAGAAUUGCUUGAACCCAGGAGGCAGAGGUUGCAGUGAGCCAAGAUUGUGCCACUGCAUUCCAGCCUGGACGACAGAGAGAGACUCUGUCUCAAAAAAAAAAAAAAAAAAAAAAGAACAUGUAGGAGUUGUUACCAGGGGUUGAGGAUAAAGGUUAGGUAAUGAGGAGUUACUGUUUAAUGAGUACAGUAUUUCAGUUUGGGAUAUUGAAAAUUUUCUGGAGAUGGAUAGUGGUAAUAGUUACACAACAAUGUGAAUGUAAUUAAUGCCACUAAAUUGUAUUUGAUGGCUAAAAUGGUAAAUUUUAUGUUAUAUGUAUUUUACCAUAAAAUGGUUGAGGUGAGAACAUGUAGAAAAUAAAAUGGAUUGCAAGGGCAAAUGGAGUCUUGUAAUCAGAGGGAACAGAGUUUCCAAAGGACAAGAAGGGUGAAAACGUAUGAAUCUUUUGGAGACUGUAAGUAGUUAGGACUGGCUGGAGCAUAAGGUACCUUUUGAGAAGUGGCAGGAGCUGAUUUUGAGGAAGUAGACAAGAGGCCAGACCUCUGAAGGGCAUUGCAUGCCACACCAAGAAUGUUUGAUUUUAUCCUGAAAGCAAUGGAGAAACAUUGAUGAGUUUAAGCAGGUGAGUGACAUGUUUAGGUCUGAAUUUUAGAAAGAUCAUUCUGGCUACUAGGUGAAAGAUGGAUUAGAGAGGCACAGAACAUUAGUAUCUUAGUCUAUUUGUGCUGCUAUAACAGAGCACCACAGACUGGGUAAUUUUUAAAGAACAGAAAUGUAUUCCUCACAGUUCUGGAGGGUAAGAACUCUUAA